CGGGGCGUGGCGCAGUCUGGUAGCGCGCCUGCUUUGGGAGCAGGAAGCCGUAGGUUCGAAGCCUAUCGCCCCGA
Molecule: transfer RNA, 74 nt
Filed under: Pseudomonadota bacterium
Lineage: Bacteria; Pseudomonadati; Pseudomonadota
Description: Proteobacteria bacterium (gut metagenome) tRNA-Pro
Rfam family: tRNA
About the family: Transfer RNA (tRNA) molecules are approximately 80 nucleotides in length. Their secondary structure includes four short double-helical elements and three loops (D, anti-codon, and T loops).
Source: RNAcentral